RNAcentral lists this ribosomal RNA (598 nucleotides) under Alternaria sp. RL201. RNAcentral's name for it is "eukaryotic LSU rRNA". The stretch from base 185 to 335 matches the Rfam family "5.8S ribosomal RNA". The record is from RNAcentral. Lineage: Eukaryota; Fungi; Ascomycota; Dothideomycetes; Pleosporales; Pleosporaceae.
GCUGUAGUACUGCGGAGGACAUUACACUAUUAUGAUGCGGCCUGUAACCGCUCGGGGUUACAGCCUUGCUGAAUGUCCUUCCGUGUCUUUUGCGUGUUCUGGUUUGCUUGGUGGGUUCGCCCACCCCUAGGACAAACAUAAACCUUUUGUUUAUGUUUCAGCGUCAGUAAUUUUGAAUAAUUACUACUUUCUUCACGGAUCUCUUGGUUCUGGCAUCGAUGAUGACGCACGGAAAUGCGAUAAGUAGUGUGAAUUGUUAAUUAUUUGAAUCAUCCAAUCUUUGAACGAACAUUGCGCCCUUUGGUAGUCCUUAGGGAAUGCCUGUUCGAGCGACCUUUGUUCCCCCCUCCUUUGCUUGGGGUUGGGCGUCUUGUCUCUUCUUUUGCUGAAUACUCGCCUUAUUGUAAUUGAUUGCCGGCCUACUGGUUUCAGAGCGCAGCCCACCUCUCACUCUCUAUCGUUUAAGGUCUACCAUCAAUGAAGCCUUUUUUUCUUCUUUUGACCUCUGAUCAGGUAGGGAUACCCGCUGAACUUAUUCAUAUCAAACACCGGUAGGAAUACCCGCUGAACUUAAGCAUAUCAAUAAGCCCGGAGGAAA